AGGGGAAAUGGAAAGAUGGGGAACAGAGAGAGGGAGAGGGGGAAAGCAGAGAGUGUGGAGAGGAGAAAUGGACAGACAGGAGUGGGAAAGGGAUGGGGCAAGGUAGAGUGAUUGAGAGAGAAAAAGCAGAGAUGGAGAGAGGGAAAUAUAGAAGUCAGAGAGAGACAGGAAGAGAAGAAAAAGAGAAAGAGGGAGUGAUGCACCUUCAAAAGCUCUCGGAGACGGGAGGCGAACGAUAGGCUUUUAUUAGCAGCAAAAUGGAGCACAGCAUCUCGGAGACUGAGGGGGGAGCAGUGCCCCCAAUCGCCUUUAUCCAGGGGUCUUUGGGAGGAGCCACAGGAGCAGUCAGCAGAGGGGCGAGUCCAAGCAGAUAUACAUAGUUUACCACAGGGAGAAAAGGCAGAGAGAGAGAAGAGAUAGAGAGAAAGUGGGAGAUGGAAAAGAGAGAGAAAGAGAGGGAGACAAGGGGAAGAAGAGAGAGGGAAAGGGAGAAAGAGGGAGCAGAGACAGAGAGAGAGAAGUAGAGAGUGAGAGGGAGAGGGAGGGAGGGAGAUGGAGAGACACUGUACACAGUCUGACAGAUUGGGACUGGGAAGGGGGUUGUGAUAACCCCCAGUGGGUGUACAAUACUUGCUCCACUAACACACCCCACCCACCCCCAGCUGGGGAUUCGGUUAGGUCUGAUGGACGUUCCUGUCUACACUGCACUUUAGGAGCCGCCUCCUGAAGGCACCAUCCCCCAUGGCAGCUCAGCGCUUUGUGUGAUGCUAUUACAGCUCAGACUUCAGAGUUCAGUUCCGGCGUCCGCUGUCAGAAAGGUUCUUCCUGUGACCACAUGGGUUUCCUCUGGGUUCUCCCAUUGCCUCCCACAGCCUAAAGAUGUCCCGGUUGGCGAUUGUGAAUUGUCCUGUGAUUAGGCUGGGUGGUGCGGCUCGUUGGACCAGAAGGACCUGUUCUGCGCUGAAUAAGCAUUGAAUUAAUAAAAUAAAGACACCCAUACAAUCUCUGGGGAUGUUUGUUGAUUGGUAUUGUCUGCAUGAGGCCAUAUCAUUGGACAGAAGCGUGAAUUUGCACACCACCCUGUUCAGGAGCGGCUACUUCCCUUCGACCGUCAGUGGCAACGCACACGGAAUGCUGGGACAGGCACCGUUCAUGGAGGGGAACAAACAGUCGAUGGCUCGGGCUGAGUCCCUUCUUCAGGUCUAGACAGGAAGGGGAAGAAGCCAGAAGCCCUGCUCACUAUCGCGGUAUCUUCGUGCAAGUGCGGUCAAUUUUGACAUUUAAGAGAAAUUAGGUUAGGUUCAUGGAUGGGAGGGGUACGGUGUGGAUGCAGGUCGGUGAGACUACGUAGAAUGACACACACAAAACGCUGGAGGAAACCAGCAGGCCAGGCAGCUUCUAUGGAAGGAAGUACAGUUGACGUUUCGGGCUGAGACCCUUCGGCAGGACUGUGCAGGCCUGAAAACGUCGACUGUGCUCUUUUCCUAGAUGCUGCCUGGCCUGCUGAGUUCCUCCAGCUUUUUGUGGAGCAAAUUUUCCAGCAUUUGCAGAUAUUCUCUUGUUUGUGAUUGGACUAUGUAGAUUAAUGGUUUGGCACGGACUAGAUAGGCAGAAGGGCCUGUGUCAGUGCUGUAGUGUUCUAUUACUCUGUGACACUUACUAUUGGUCAGUUACUUCACUAAUUCUGAGAUAUGACAGGCUUUUAAUGUGGAGAUUCUAUUGGCUAUUAAUACCUGUAUGACCGUAGUGUGAUUGAUUAUGCAAAUAAGGAAUUUGAACGCACAAAAUGUUAGCAAUUGGCCAAUAUCUGUAACCAACUAUUCUGUAUAAAAAUGGCAUUUCUCUGUUCAGAGUCCAGAACAGUGUGGUUCUCCUUGUGCACAAGUAAAACAGAGUGUGGUUGAAGAACGAGUGUGAGUUGUCAGAGGCAAGUUAAUCGGUGAUGACAAUCCCACUGACCAGUCCAAUCAGAGAAGACCGCAGUAUUAAUAACUUACUGAAUACUGAAAGCCUCGAAAGAGUGGACGUGUACAGGACGAUUUCCAUUGUGUAAGACCGAAGGACACUGCCUCACUAGAGGAACAGAGAUGAGGGAUUUCUUCAGCCAGGGAGUGGUGAAUCUGUGGAAUUCAUUGCCACAGAUGGCUGUGGAGGCCAAGUCAUUGAGUAUAUUUAAAGCAGAGGUUGAUAGAUUCUUGAUUAGUCAGGGCAACAAAGGUUACAGGGAGAAGGCAGAUGGAUAGGGUUGAGAGGGAUAAUAUGUCAGCCAUGAUUGAAUAGCAGAGCAGACUUGAUGGGCCGAAUGGACUAAUUCUGUUCCUACAGAAUGACUUCUUAUUAUCUAAUAUUAAUUCCACUAAGCUGUGUCCAUGAACACCUUUGCUCAACAGGGAGCCUGGCUGCGGCCACUUGCUGCUCGGUUGAAGUUAAGUUAGUUAAUGAGUUACUCAGUUUGGUUGCACUAGUAAAGCACCUAGUUAAACAUUACAUCAGAUCAGAGCCCACAGCUCAAUCCAGCCAUUCCACCAACCGCAGAGUUUAAGAAUUAUUGAUUGAGAUGACCUAGUCCAUCAGUCAUCCCUCUCUCUCCAACCCACCAUCUCUUCCUCUCUCCCUCUCUUCUUCUCUGUCCCUACCUCCCUCUCCCAUUCCCUCUCUCCUUCUCUCCAUUCCACUCUGUCCUUCCUUGCUUCCACCUCUCGCCCCUCUCCCUCCAUCGCACCUUCCCUUCCUCCAUAGACUCCCUCCAUCUCCCUCUUCACUCCAUUACCCCUGUGUUUAUGUAAGAAUCCCUUCAAUGUCCCUAACAUAUCUAUCUCUACCACCACUUCUGGCAGCACAUUCCAACACCCACAACUCUGUGUGUAGAAAGUCUCCCCCCAUAUGUUCCUCCAAUCACAUUAAAAUGCUGUCCUGUACACUGCCCGACAGACAGAGAUGGAGGCCAUUCACUGCUGCCCUAAUGUCAGCCGUCAACAGGCAGGGAGUUUAAUUUCAAUGUGAUUGGCCUUGCCCCACUUGCAGACAGGUACAUCCUGAAAGCUGCUGCUUUAAGAUCAGAUCAGAUCAGAUUCAGAAUGUACCUCAAAACUCUUCCUGACACCGUAUUCCAUCUCCCAUUUCUUUGCCCAUUCUCCUGAUCUGUAGCCUAUGCCCUCAAAACUACCUGCCCGUCAUAUCAUCUGCAAACUUUGCAACAAAGCCAUCAUUUCCAUCAUCCAAAUCAUUGACAUAUAACGUAAAAAGAAUCGGUCCCAGCACAGACCCCUGUGGAACACCACUAGUCACCGGCAACCAGCCAGAAAAGGCCCCCUUUAUUCCCACUCUUUGCCUCCUGCCAAUUAGCCACUGUUUUGACCAUGCUGGAACCUUCCCUGUAAUACCAAGGGCUCGUAGCUCUGUUUAGCAGCCUCGUGUAUUUCACCUUGUCAAAGGCCUUCUGAAAAUCCAAGUGCAUAACAUCAACCGAUUCUCUUUUGCCUAUCCUACUUGUUACUUCCACAAAGAAUUCCAACAGAUUUGUCAGGCAAGAUUUUCCCUUGAGGAAACCAUGCUGGCUACGGCCUAUUUUAUGAUGUGUCUCCAAGUACCCUGAGACCUCAUCCUUAAUAAUCGACUCCACACCUUCCCAACCACUGAGGUCAGACUAACUGGUCUACAGUUUCCUCUCUUCUGCCUCUCUCCCUUCUGGAAGAGGGGAGUGACAUUUGCAGUUUUCCAGUCUUCCGGAACCAUUCCAGUAUCUAGUGGUUCUUGGAAGAUCAUUACUAAUGCCCCAUGGUCUCUUCAGACAGCUUAUUCAGAACCCUGGGCGGGACACCAUCUGGUCCAGCUGACUUAUCUACCUUCCCUUACAGUUCCCCAAGAACCUUCUCUAGUUAUAGCAACUUCACACACACUUCCUGCCCCUGUGAUGAAAUGGUGGAACAGACUUGAUGGACUGAAUGGCCUAAAUCUGCCCCUAUAUCUUAUGGUCUGAUGAUACAUGUGGCAAUAAACUCUGAAUCUGGAUCCGAACUCCCUCAGCAUUAUAACCGUAUUUAUUGAUUUAUUUAGAGUUACAGUCUAACAGACCCUUCCAGCCCAACCAGCUGCACCUACUAAACCCCAGUCUAAUCACAAGGCAACUUACAAUCACCAAUUAACCAACUAACCAGUAGGUCUUUGGAACGUGAGAGGGACCUGGUACACCCAGAGGAAACCCACACAGAACGGGGAGACACAUACAGACUUACAGACAGUGCCAGAACUCAACUCCGACGUCCCGAGCUGUUACGGUGUCACGCUACCACGGUCUCCUAUGAUUUAUUUUACAUCUCUGUGCUACCGGCCCACACAUCUGUUCCACUACCUCCUGUCAACUGUGAGAACCUCUGUAGAACAUGCCUGUCUCAGAGGGUGCUGAACAUCUGGAGUUGUCUGCCAGAUUACUAUGGAGAGAUAGUGAAAUACUUGGAAGAUUUGAGAGUUGACGGAACUGGCAUAGAAGAGGCCAGCGUUGAUCAUCAAUGAUCGCAUUCCAUGAUGGGACAGACGGCAGGCCGAGUGGCAUCCUGUACCUGUCUUCUUGCCUCCUCCCUGCGUUAGAAGGGCGAUAUGCAAAACCAGCUGAUUACUAGUGUGGCAGGUCACCAAUUUAUGGUCCAAUAUCGUCCUCUGCUGGCGUUGGCAGCUACUGCAGCUGUUAAAGGCUCUGCCUUUUUAAUGAGGGAAUUAGCGGAUCGAGCGGUGUCCAAGGGAGGAAACGAUGGCUCCCGGCGCAGGUUUUCAACCUGAAACAUCAGCAUCCUCAGCCCCCUAACCUACUUUCUGUACACUGAUGCCAGUUUCUGCUCUAACUCUGCAAACUUGCAGAUAUCACCGUCGUGGGUCAAAUCUCAAGAACAAUGAACAAUACAGGGAGGAGAAAGAGAGUUCAGUGACAUGGUUUCAUGACAACAGCCAAUGUCAGCAAAUGAGUUGGUCAUUGACUUCAGGAAGGGGGCUGGUGCACAUGUUCUUGUCUACAUCAAUGGUGUUGGGGUUGAGAGCUUCAAGUUCGUAGGAGUGUCCAUCAUCGACAUCCUGCCCUGGUCCAACCAUGUUGAUGUCACAUCCAAGAAAGCCUCUACUUCCUCGGGAAGCUAAAAAAAAACAUUGGCAAGUGCCUGGUGACCAUCACUGAUAUUUCUGGACGCACCUCAGAAACCUUUCUGUCUGGAUCCAUCACAGCCCGGGAUGGCAGCGACCGCAGAGAGCUGCGGGCACAGAAACCAGCCUCUGCACUACGAACCCUUGUUCAUUUUAGUAAGGCACUUUAUCCCGCACUCCGUUAUUGAUUUUUUUUUUGUAUUACCUCGGCGCACUGAUGUGAUGACCUGAUCUGUAUGCAAAACAAAGUUUUCCACUGUCCCUUGGUACACACACCACCAGGCUCCAGGCAGCUUUACCCCGCUGUAAUAAGCCUUCUGAACAGACCUCUUGUGUACUAAAGGUAGGCUCCUGGCAAGCUACUGAGUUAUGAUCUUACAGCUUACUGCUUGCCUGCAAUCCACUUUCUCUGUAACUGUUACACUUUAUUCUGCUUUCUGUUAUUGUUUCACCUGGUUCGACCUCACCGCACCGUGUAAUGACCUGAUCUGUACGAACGGUGUGCAAGACAAGCUUCUCUCUGUAUCUCGGUACAUGUGACAAUAAUAAACCGAUUCCAAUUCCAAACCUGCCGAUGUGUAAAGUGUGGAGGGCAGGAUACAGGGUUACUGGCAGGAGUAUCGGCAGGGUGGAGGAACAAAGGGUUUUCGGGGUCCAAGCUGCUGCGCGAGUUGAUAGGGUGAUUAAGAAGGUGUUGGCCUUCGUAAUUCAGGGACUGAGUUCAAGGGAAAUGAGGUGAUGUUGCAACUCUAUAAAACCUGGUUAGACCACACUUGGUGUAUUGUGUUCAGUUCGAGUCACCUCAUUAUAGAAAGGAUGUGAAAACUUUUGAAGGGGCGCAGAGGAGAUUUACCAGGAUUAGAGAGCAUGGUGCGACCGCAGUUCUGCGCUGUGGACGUUUCAGUGCAAGAAACAUCAUAAGGAAGGUGGAUGAUAAUGCUGAAGACGAGUAGCUGAUUCACAGAGGCAAUGUGUAGUUAGGAGAGACUAUUGACAGGGAAGAACUGUAGUAAGCAGAGUGAGUUGCAAUGUAAAAGGCAGACAAAAUCGAAAAGGGUGUAAGGUUGACGGGACGGCGGCGGAGUAGGAUUGUAGGUGUUAUAUUUGAAUGCGCGCAGUAUACAGAAUAAGGUCGAUGAACUGGCAGCACAGUUGCAGACUGGCAUGUAUGAUGUUGGAGGCAUCACUGAAACAUGGCUGAAAGAUUACAGCUGGGUGCUUAAUGUCAAAGACUACACAUCCUAUUGAAAGGACUGGCGGAAAGGCAGAUUGAGUGGCGUUGCUCUGUUUGCAAAAAAAUGAAGUCAAAUCAUGAGAAAGAGGUGACAUAAGGUCAGAAAGUGUUGAAUCAUUGUGGAUGGAGCUAAGGAACUGCAAGGGUAAAAAGACCCUGGUGGGAAUUCUAUACAGACCCCCAAACAGGGGUGAGGAUGUGGUCUACAAAUUAAAACGGGAGAUAGAAACUGCAUGCCAAAAGGGCAAUGUUACAAUAGUCACAGGGGACUUCAAUAUACAGGUAUAUGCAGGUAGAUUGGGAAAAUCAGGUUGGUGCUGGAUUCCAAGAGAGGGAAUUUCCAGAGUCCCUACGAGAUGGGUAUUUAGAGCAGUUCAUGGAUGAGCCCACUAGGGGAUCAGCUGUUCUGGAUUGGGUGCUGUGCAAUGAACCGGAAUUGAUUAGUGAGCUUAAAACAAAAGAACCCUUAGGGAUCAUCAUUUGAGGAGAAGCUAAAGUCGGAUAUAUCAGUAUUACAGUGGAGUGUAGGGAAUUACAGAGGCAUAAGAGAGGAGUUGGCUAGAAUUGAUUGGAAAUGAACACCGGCAGGGAUGAUGGCAGAGCAGCAAUGGCUGAAAUUUCUGGAAACAAUUCAGAAGACACAGGAUAUAGAUAAUCCCAAAGAGGAAGUAUUCUAAAGGAAAGAUGACGCAAACAUGGCUAACAAGAGACGUCAAAGCCAACAUAAAAGCCAAAGAGAGGGCAUAUAAGUGAGCAAAAAUUAGCGGGAAGUUAGAGGAUUGGGAAGCUUUCAAAUACCAACAGUAGGCAAUUAAAGAAGUCAUUACGAAGGUAAAGAUAGAAUAUGAAAGUAAACUAAAGAGGAUACCAAAAGCUUCUUCAGAUGCAUAAACUGUAAAAGAAAGGCAAGAGUGGAUAUCAGCCCACUAAGAAAUGAUGCUGGAGAAGUCGUAGUGGGGGGACAACAAACUGAAGAAGUAUUUUGCAUCAGUCUUCACUGUGGAAGACACUAGCAGUAUGGUGGAAGUUCCAGGUGUCGGGGGGAUGAAGUGUGUGAAGUUGCCGUAACUAGAGAGAAGGUUCUUGGGAAACUGAAAGGUCUGAAGGUGGAUAAGUCACCUGGACCAGAUGGUGUACACCCCAGGGUUGUGAAUGAUGUGGCUGAAGAGAUUAAGGAGGCAUUAGUAAUGAUCUUUCAAGAAUCACUAGAUUCUGGAAUGGUUCCAGAAGACUGGAAAAUUGCAAAUGUCACUCCAUCCUUAAAGAUGGGAGAGAGGCAGAAGAAAGGAAACCAGUCAUAUAACCAUAUAUAACAAUCACAGCACGGAAACAGGCCAUCUCGGCCCUCCUAGUCCGUGCCGAACCCUUAAUCUCACCUAGUCCCACCUACCCGCACUCAGCCCAUAACCCUCCACUCCUUUCCUGUCCAUAUACCUAUCCAAUUUCACCUUAAAUGACACAACUGAACUGGCCUCUACUACUUCUACAGGAAGCUCAUUCCACACAGCUAUCACUCUCUGAGUAAAGAAAUACCCCCUCGUGUUUCCCUUAAACUUCUGCCCCCUAACUCUCAAAUCAUGUCCUCUAGUUUGAAUCUCCCCUACUCUCAAUGGAAACAGCCUGUUCAUGUCAACUCUAUCUAUCCCUCUCAAAAUUUUAAAUACCUCGAUCAAAUCCCCCCUCAACCUUCUACGCUCCAAUGAAUAGAGACCUAACUUGUUCAACCUUUCUCUGUAACUUAAUUGCUGAAACCCAGGUAACAUCCUAGUAAAUCGUCUCUGCACUCUCUCUAAUUUAUUGAUAUCUUUCCUAUAAUUCGGUGACCAGAACUGCACACAAUAUUCCAAAUUUGGCCUUACCAAUGCCUUGUACAACUUUAGCAUUACAUCCCAACUUCUGUACUCAAUGCUUUGAUUUAUAAAGGCCAAUGUUCCAAAAGCCCUCUUCACCACCCUAUCUACAUGAGACUCCACUUUCAGGGAACUAUGCACAGUUAUUCCUAGAUCUCUCUGUUCCUCUGCAUUCCUCAAUGCCCUACCAUUUACCAUGUAUGUUCUAUUUGGAUUAUUCCUGCCAAAAUGUAGAACCUCACACUUCUCACCAUUAAACUCCAUCUGUCAACGUUCAGCCCAUUCUUCUAACUGGCAUAAAUCUCCCUGCAAGCUUUGAAAAUCCACCUCAUUAUCCACAACACCUCCUACCUUAGUAUCAUCGGCAUACUUACUAAUCCAAUUUACCAACCCAUCAUCCAGUUAGUCUGACCUCAGUGGUUGGAAAGGUGUUGGAGUCCAUAAUUAAGGAUGAGGUCUCAGGGUACUUGGAGACACAAGAUAAAAUAGGCUGUAGUCGGCAUGGUUUCCUCAAGGGAAAUUUUUGCCUGACAAAUUCAUUGGAAUUCUUUGAAGAAAUAACAAGCAGGAGAGAUAAAGGAGAACUGUUUGAUUGUGUGUACUUGAAUUUUCAGAAGGCCUUUGACAAGGUGCCACACAUGAAGCUGCUGAACAAGCUACAGGACCGUGGUAUAACAGGAAAGAUUCUAGCAUGGACAAAGAAGUGGGUGAUUGGUAGAAGACAAAGAGUGGGAAUAAAGGGAGCCUUUCUGGCUGGCUGCCGGUGACUAGUGGUGUUCCACAGGGGUCUGUGUUAUAUGUCAAUGAUUUGGAUGCUGGAAUUGUUGGCUUUGUUGCAGAUGAUAUCAGGACAGGUGGAGGGGUAGAUAGUUUUGAGGAAGUAGAGAGGCUACAGAAGGAUUUAGACAGAUUAAGAGAAUAGGCAAAGAAACAGUGCCGGGAAGUGUAUGGUCAUACACUUUGGUAGAAGAAAUGAAAGGGUUGACCAUUUCCUAAAUGGAGAGAAAAUACAAAAAAACUGAGUUGCAAAGGGAUUUGAGAGUCCUUUUGCAGGAUUCCCUAAAGGUUAAUUUGCAAAUUGAGUCUGUGGUGAGGAAGGCAAAUGCAUUCAUUUCAAGAGGACUAGAAUGUUGAGACUUUAUAAAGCACUGGUGACGCCUCACUUGGAGGAUUGUGAGCAGUUUUGGCUACUUUACCUUGGAAAGGAUGUUCUGAAACUGGAGAGGGUUCAAAGGAGGUUCGCAGAAAUGAUUCCAGGAUUGACCGGCUUGAUGUCUCUGGGCCUGUAUUCACUGGAAUUCAGAAGAAUGAGGGGUGACCUCAUUGAAACCUCUCAAAUGGUGAAAAACCUUGAUAGAGAGGACGUGGAGAGGAUGUUUCCUGUGGCGGGAGAGUCUCAGAGGGCACAGCCUCAGAAAAGAGGGAUGUCCUUUUAGAAUGGAGAUGAGGGGGAAUUUCUUUAGCUAGAGAGUGGUGAAUCUGUGGAAUUCAUUGCCACAGGCAGCUGUGGAGGCCAAGUUUUUAUGUAUAUUUAAGGCAAAGAUUGAUAGAUUCUUGAUUGGUCAGGGCUUGAAGAGAUGCGGGGAGAAGGCAUGAGACUGGGGCUGAGAGGAAAUAUGGAUCAGGCAUGAUGAAAUGGUGGAGAAGACUUGAUGGGCCAAAUGCGUUCUGUUCAGUGUUUUCUGUUCUGUGUUCUAUGUUCUGUGUUUUCUGUUCUGUGUUCUAUGAUCUGUGUUCCACGUUCCGUGUUUUAUGUUUCGUGCUCCAUGUUCCCUGUUCCAUGUUCCCUGUUCCACGUUCCGUGUUUUAUGUUCAAUGCUGCAGGGACACUACUUGGGUAUCUCUCCUACAUGCACUGGUUCGAGUGGACUGCCGUCUCUCUGUCAACGAUCUGCUCCCCAGGGUCCCCCGGAGGAGGAAGACCCAACCCACCCCUGUGCCCAGCCCGCCAGCAACGCCCAUCCCCCUUCCACUCUCUGGGACAUCCCAUCCUCUGCUUGUUACGGGCGCACAGGGCCCCUGGAGGCCCGAAUGGUCAGGAGCCACAGUUGGGUGCAGGAAAGAGCAGGCCGAUUGUUCCCUGGGGAAAUGGGAAAAUGAACCGGCACAAAGGGGUGACCUCCAUGGCUUCAGCUGCAGCAGGAAAAUACUCACUGCGGGAGCUGUGGGAGAACUAGGGGAGACUUGAGAGAGGUAUAUAACACUAUGAGGGUAAAUCAGAGUUUUUCCACUGAGAGUAAAACAAGAGGUCAUGGGUCAAGGGUGAAAGUGAAACGUUUAAGGGCAGCCUGAGGGGGAACUUCUUCACUCAGAGGGCGGUGAGAGUGUGGAACGAGCUGCCAGCAGAAGUGGAAGAUACAGGUUUGAUUUCACCAUUUAAGAGAAGUUUGGAUGGGUACACGGGUGGGAGGGGUGCAGACCGAUGAGAAUGGGCAGAAUGGCCUGUUUCUGUGCUCUGGUCCUCUGCGACUCUGUGGAACAGAACAGUACAGCACAGUUCAGGCCCUUCAGCUCUCAAAGUUGUGCCAACACUUUGACCUACUCGAAGAUGAAUCUAACCCUUCCCUCCCACAUACCCUCCGCUUUUAUAUCAUCCCUGUGUCUAUCGAACAAUCACUGAAAAGCCCCUAACGUAUCUGCUUCUAACACCACCCCCGCCGGACUGUUCCAUACGCCCACCACUCUCUGUAAAAACCCUACUUCAGACAUGUCCCCAAGAUUUUCCUCCAAUCACAUUCAAAUGAUGCCCCCCUCCGAUUAGCCAUCGACGCCCUGGGAAAUAUCUCUGGCUGUCCACUCGAUCUGCGCAUCUUACCCUCUCUGUCGGGUCAGAAAGUGCCUGAAUGUGGCAGCGGUCAAUCACAAAGAGCCGGUUUACGACAGUGUGGACCACACACCGCGUCUCCGCCUCUUCCUCACCAGCUCCACCACCAGAGAUCCACAUCUUCACUUCCUUUCUCCUGGCCCUUUAUUCCGUUUGUAUUCAUUUUGUCUUUAAAAUAACAUCAGGUACAAUCGUGUUGACACUGGUCUGUUGUCCUCACUGGCUUAUGAGGAAAGGUGGAGCGAAGUCGGGCUUUUCUCUUUGGAGUGACAGAGUAUGAGAGGAGAGUGAAGUCACAUCUGCAUGAAACACUGUAGCAGGAAAGCAGCAUCCAUCAUCAAGGACUCCCACCACCCAGGACAUGCACUCUUCUUGCUUUUCUGGUUGCCAUCAAAAAGAAGAUGCAGGAGCCUCAGGGCCCACACCACCAACAGUCACUACCCUUCAACCGUCAGGUUCCUGAACCAAGGACUCUGAUGGCAGAGGGGAAGAAGCUGCUCCUGAAUCGCUGAGUGUGUGCCUUCAGGCUUCUGUACCUCCUACCUAAUGGUACCAAUGAGAAAAGGGCACGCCCUGGGUGCUGGAGAUCCUUAAUAACGGACGCUGCCUUUCUGAGACACCGCUCCUUGAAGAUUGCCUGGGUACUUUGUAGGCUAGUGCCCAAGAUGGAGCUGACUAAAUUUAGAACCCUCUGCAGCUUCUUCUGGUCCUGUGCAGUAGCCCCUCUAUACCAGACAGUGAUGCAGCCUGUCAGAACGCUCUCCACGGUACAUAUAUAGAUGUUUAUGAAUUUUUUUGUUAACCUCUUCAAACUCCUAAUGAAGUAUAGUCGCUGUCUUGCCUUCUUUAUAGCUGCAUCAAUAUGCUGAGACCGGGUUAGGUUCUCAGAGAUCUUGACAGCCAGGAACUUGAAGCAGCUCACUCUCUCCACUUCUGAUCCCUCUGUGAGGAUUGGUGUGUGUUCCUUCAUCUUACCCUUCCAGAAGUCCACAAUCAGCUCUUUCAUCUUCCUGACGUUGAGUGCCAGGUUGUUGCUGCAGCACCAUCUGAGAUUCUACCAGCCAUGGUUGGAUGUAGCUUGUGUGGUUUGUGUGUGGUUUUCAUUGAUUCGAUUGUGUUUCUUUGGAUUUACUCUGAAUGCCUGCAAGAAAAUGAAUCUCAGGGUUGCAUAUUGUGAUAUUUAAGUGUUUUGGUAAUAAAUUUACUUUGAACUUUGAACUCAAUAUCAUUGUGUACAAGUGCAAUAUAAUGCCCCAAUUCCUGAACCCCUCCGACACUCCGGACGUGCCGAGCCCUAUCGACCUGUGACUGCAAGACCUCGGGAGAGACCGGAAGGUACUGAGAAGCCAGAUUUGGCUUUUGGGGUGUCCUGUAGAAUUCAUCGGACAUCUGGAUUGGGAACAUUCAUACUGCCGAUGAUUCGUAAAUGGGCAGAGAGCUCAGAGAUAACACCACUUGUAAACACAAAGCAGGGGAGUGAGAAAUCUCACACUCAGCAAGACAGCACAAUCUGAAGGACAGGAAGCUAGUGUUCACUGUGUGAGAGAGAGAGAGAGAGAGAGAGAGAGAGAGAGAGAGACAGAGACAGAGAGACAGACAGAGAGAGAGAGAGAGAGAAGAGAGAGAGAAGAGAGAGAGAGAGAGAGAGAGAGAGAGAGUAUGACAUUUGUUUCUGAGGUUCCUCCCAAUGCUCCUCUACCCCGACCCCCUUCACCUUAUCGUCCCGUUCCUCUUGUUCACCCCAUCUCUCAAAGUGUAACACUGCUCUCAGCCACACGUUCCUGGUCCGUGACCCCGGGGACAUUGCCUCUGUAUUUGAUAUUCUUUAUUGUAAUUUAUAGUAAUUUUUCGGGUACUGUACUGCAAAACAACAAAUUUCGUGAUAUACAUCGGUCAAUGCUAAUAUACCGCAUCAGGACUCUGGUUGGCUUUUAUUUGGAGAUACAGCACAGAACAGACCCUUCUGUCCAUCGAGCUGUACUGACCAGUAGCCCCUAAUUUAACCAUAUCCUAAUCACAGGAUAAUUUACAAUGACCGAUUCAAAUACUAACCGAUGUGUCUUGGGACUGUAGGAGGAAACACACACACAUUCCCCAGGGACUCCUUACAGAGGACAUUGGGGUUGUACUCUGAACUCUGACACUGACUGUAAUGUGUCACGCUAACCACUACGUUACUACAGCGCCCGCUAUAACUACUGAACCACUUCAUCAGGAGAAGGGCUUGAAUUCAUCACUAUUCCAUCAUCGGUUCAGUAAUGCAUAAACACUUGGGCUGUGAGGAGGGGUCACACCUAACUUCUGUGUCUGACCCACUAUGAGAGGAACUCUGAAUUGCCUUGCUCAGCCCAACUGCUAUUGGAAACGGCCGCUGAAUUCUCCCACUCCGGGGAAAUCCACCAUCUGUAUUUUCAAAGGAAAAGUUUGAGCAUCAUUGAAAAUCCUUCAAAAAGAUUCUUCUCUGUCCCUGCACCAUUACAACAUUAAGGGCAUGGUUGUUCUUUGAAGCAAGAUUCAUUGCAAUAAUGCCUGGCACAAGUUUACAAAAAUUGUAAAUAUACGCUGGUAGUUCGAAAUUCAAGAUCUGAGAUAGUUUAAUGUCAAUUCCAGACAAGUGUAGAAGGGAACGAAAUCAUUGUUACUCCAGAUCCGAUGCAGCACAAAACACACAAUAGUAAAAAUCCACAAUAAAAAUAAAUAUAUGAUCAUUUUAAGCUCUAUAAUCUCUAAUUU
Molecule: long non-coding RNA, 13771 nt
Organism: Hypanus sabinus (Atlantic stingray)
Lineage: Eukaryota; Metazoa; Chordata; Chondrichthyes; Myliobatiformes; Dasyatidae
Exons: 3
Source: RefSeq, a predicted model, not a curated record